GAGGUACUCCCUCCGUUUGGAAUUAUUUGUCCUGAAAUGGAUGUAUCUAGAUGUAUUUUAGUUCUAGAUACAUUCAUUUUCGAGACAAGUAAUUCGGAACGGAGGGAGUACAUA
This is a non-coding RNA of Triticum aestivum (bread wheat), 114 nucleotides long. The record is from Rfam. NCBI's taxonomy places the organism in Eukaryota, Viridiplantae, Streptophyta, Magnoliopsida, Poales, Poaceae.